This 1234-nucleotide long non-coding RNA is filed under the name Monodelphis domestica (gray short-tailed opossum). Its description in RNAcentral is "lncRNA (ENSMODG00000043080.1)". Lineage: Eukaryota; Metazoa; Chordata; Mammalia; Didelphimorphia; Didelphidae. The record is from RNAcentral.
GACCAUCUCGCCACCCCCCGCUCUCUGUUUUCUCUAUUUUUCCUAGAAGAGACUCUAUUCCUUAAAUAGAUAUAGAAAGGGUAGAGACAAAUCCCCUGAGACAGGGUUUCAGGUAUGAAAAAUCAAUUCAUAGACCUGGUUAACAAUUAUUAACUUAUUUUCUUGGUAAUCAAAGAUCCUGCUGCAGGGUCUUGGUUCAUCUUAAACGCACCUGCUGUUCCUACCACAGUUCAUCUCUUGAUUUUUCCCUGUACGCUGAAAUGCAGCUCUAAUUUGUGGACACUUGAUGAGGAGGUGAGCUAAUUGUUCCCUACCUUGUAUUACUUCAUUGGUGGUAGGAGGAAUUUAAUGCGGAGUGAGUGGGACCCAGUUAGGAGAUUUUAAUAGCCCUUGGUGAUCCAAGCAACAAGAUCCACCUUGGUCUGGUUAAACUUUCACCUCCAUGAAUCAAAUCUAUCUCCAUCUCCACAAAUCCAAAUCUCCAUCUCAACAGGGAGGACCAAGGGCAGAAGCUCAUUGCCCCUGGGAAACAGCAAGGUUAGGUUAGUUUUAUUUACAGAGAAAACAACUCAAAUUCCCAGCUGGGGUAGGGACCCAUCCCAAUUAUAGCAGAUGCAUAUGGAAGAAAUGCAAGAAUAUUUCUAGAACCUUCAGAGAAAUCUCUUUCUGAACUGGUUAAGGUGGGAGGUGGGGGAGAUUUAGACACAAAGAGCAAUGUUACAGAUUAAUAUUAGACAUCAAACAAUAUAGUAUUAAUAUUAAUUUUCCUCAGGGAUUUAUAGAGUAUCAAUUCCCUCAUUUAUUAGAUGAGAACACUGAGGUUCAGAGAGAUCCUGACUCCCAGUUCAGUGUACCACACAUCACACAGUAGCUGACACCCAUAUAAAUAUGUCUUUAAUUGAAAUAUGAAAAUUAGAUGUGAGCCACUCUACCUUAGAAUUCAGGAAAAAGGAAAUAAAAAUCUUUGUUUGGUCUAACAUGAAAGUUAGAUUUUUUAAAAAUCUUAUUUUAUUUUAUUUUCAGUUCCAAAUUCUCUUCCUCCCACUUGCCUCUCACUCAUCCACUGAGAAGGAAGAAAAUUGGAAUAAUAAGAUGGAUGUGAAAUGUCAGUUACUCCAUUUACCUGGUAUGGAACAAUAAAAUGUGCAUGUAAUACACAUAGCAUGUAUAUAUACUAUAUAUAAUAAUAUAGCCUCAUAAUAAAAAAUUAUGAAAUCUUUAAGUACUGGAGGAA